Mustela erminea (ermine) is the source of this 517-nucleotide long non-coding RNA. RefSeq lists it as uncharacterized. Lineage: Eukaryota; Metazoa; Chordata; Mammalia; Carnivora; Mustelidae. The transcript is spliced from 4 exons. The record is from RefSeq and is a predicted model, not a curated record.
UAUGCUCCAGAAGAGCUAGGACUUUGUCUUAUUCAGACAAAAUCUGAAGUAUACAAGAAUUGCAGUAUUCAGAUUCUACAACAGUGAUGUUUUAAUUAGAGUACAGGUGGCAGGAAAACCCAGCUUGCUACACCUCUAGCAACAUUACCAUCUGGCCUGGUCUAAAGUUGCUUCCAACUUUGAUAUACACAUGAUCAAGCUAUCAGGAAUUGGAAACACUGAAUCAUGUGUAACAAGAAGGAUCUAGACAGUUAAGCCUUGUACAAAAUCACUUCCGGGAGAAAGCAGACCCGUCACGAUGUGAUAUUUACUGUCAUUCCAGCAGCUGUCAAGCACAGACCUAAACUAGAUGGCUCUAUAAUCACAGGGCUGCCUAAUGGUGUGUGUGCAUGUAAAAACAAUGAGGAGGAUGACACCCAGGUUUUCAAAUUCCUCAGUGAACCAGCACUUCUGAAGAGUUUUCAAGACAAAGUCUUUCACUAUCGAUUUAUUAGGCAACCCAACAACAAAACUUUAA